This 74-nucleotide transfer RNA is filed under the name compost metagenome. RNAcentral's name for it is "tRNA-Gln". It matches the Rfam family "tRNA". From Rfam's summary of the family: Transfer RNA (tRNA) molecules are approximately 80 nucleotides in length. Their secondary structure includes four short double-helical elements and three loops (D, anti-codon, and T loops). The record is from RNAcentral.
UGCCCCUUAGCUCAACUGGCAGAGCGUCUGACUCUGGAUCAGAAGGUUCCUGGUUCGAAACCAGGAGGGGCAAC